AAAGUGGCUGAUUAUUUUCAAGAAAUACGUGACAAUCGUUGACGACGAAUUAAUAAUUAAAUCGAUUCUGAGUUUCUCCUGGUAUUCCAGUCCUGAUUCAGUUCUUAUUGAUACAUAUAUUAAUUACUUGCUUGAUUUGACCUCAUUUCAUGUCAGUUUCAUUAAUAAUGUAUUAACAUCAUUAAUUAAAGCAGCUUUAUUACCCGAUCAUGAAAGUGAAUCAGUAUACAUUAAUAUUCAUAGAGCAAUUGAACUUCAAUUAACUACUACU
This is a long non-coding RNA of Amphimedon queenslandica, 271 nucleotides long. RefSeq lists it as uncharacterized. Lineage: Eukaryota; Metazoa; Porifera; Demospongiae; Haplosclerida; Niphatidae. The record is from RefSeq and is a predicted model, not a curated record. The transcript has 3 exons.